UACGGGGGGUGCGAGCGUUAAUCGGAAUAACUGGGCGUAAAGGGCACGCAGGCGGACUUUUAAGUGAGGUGUGAAAUCCCCGGGCUUAACCUGGGAAUUGCAUUUCAUACUGGAGGUCUUGAGUACUGUAGGGAGGGGUAGAAUUUCACGUGUAGCGGUGAAAUGCGUAGAGAUGUGGAGGAAUACCGAAGGCGAAGGCAGCCCCUUGGGAAUGUACUGACGCUCAUGUACGAAAGCGUGGGGAGCAAACAGG
Molecule: ribosomal RNA, 253 nt
Filed under: uncultured bacterium
Lineage: Bacteria
Description: partial 16S ribosomal RNA
Rfam family: Bacterial small subunit ribosomal RNA
Source: RNAcentral